RNAcentral lists this transfer RNA (84 nucleotides) under Microcaldota archaeon. RNAcentral's name for it is "tRNA-Leu". It matches the Rfam family "tRNA". Rfam says of the family: Transfer RNA (tRNA) molecules are approximately 80 nucleotides in length. Their secondary structure includes four short double-helical elements and three loops (D, anti-codon, and T loops). Further hydrogen bonds mediate the characteristic L-shaped molecular structure. tRNAs have two regions of fundamental functional importance: the anti-codon, which is responsible for specific mRNA codon recognition, and the 3' end, to which the tRNAs corresponding amino acid is attached (by aminoacyl-tRNA synthetases). tRNAs cope with the degeneracy of the genetic code in two manners: having more than one tRNA (with a specific anti-codon) for a particular amino acid; and 'wobble' base-pairing, i.e. permitting non-standard base-pairing at the 3rd anti-codon position. RNAcentral also lists the same sequence under 1 other name. The record is from RNAcentral. Lineage: Archaea; Nanobdellati; Microcaldota.
GCAGGGGUUGCGGAGUCUGGUAUCGCGCAGGACUUAAGAUCCUGUGGCCUAGCGCCUUCGUGAGUUCAAAUCUCACCCCCUGCA